UUGACCUCGGAUCAGGUAGGAAUACCCGCUGAACUUAAGCAUAUCAAUAAGCGGAGGAAAAGAAACCAACAGGGAUUGCCCUAGUAACGGCGAGUGAAGCGGCAACAGCUCAAAUUUGAAAUCUGGCUUCGGCCCGAGUUGUAAUUUGUAGAGGAUGCUUUUGGUGCGGUGCCUUCUGAGUUCCCUGGAACGGGACGCCUUAGAGGGUGAGAGCCCCGUAAAGUCGGACACCAAGCCUGUGUAAAGCUCCUUCGACGAGUCGAGUAGUUUGGGAAUGCUGCUCAAAAUGGGAGGUAAAUUUCUUCUAAAGCUAAAUACCGGCCAGAGACCGAUAGCGCACAAGUAGAGUGAUCGAAAGAUGAAAAGCACUUUGAAAAGAGGGUUAAAAAGUACGUGAAAUUGUUGAAAGGGAAGCGCUUAUGACCAGACUUGUGCCCUGCGGAUCAUCCAGCCUUCUGGCUGGUGCACUUCGCUUGGUUCAGGCCAGCAUCGGUUUUCCGAGGGGGAUAAAAGCUUCAGGGACGUGGCUCCUCCGGGAGCGUUAUAACCUGUUGCAAAAUACCCCUCGGGGGACCCGAGGUUCGCGCAUCUGCAAGG
Molecule: ribosomal RNA, 597 nt
Filed under: Thyridium curvatum
Lineage: Eukaryota; Fungi; Ascomycota; Sordariomycetes; Thyridiales; Thyridiaceae
Description: eukaryotic LSU rRNA
Rfam family: Eukaryotic large subunit ribosomal RNA
Source: RNAcentral